This 264-nucleotide ribosomal RNA is filed under the name uncultured bacterium. RNAcentral's name for it is "partial 16S ribosomal RNA". It matches the Rfam family "Bacterial small subunit ribosomal RNA", at positions 793 to 1055 of the family's 1533-position model. The record is from RNAcentral.
GUCCACGCCCUAAACGAUGGACACUAAGUGUCGGCGGGUUACCGCCGGUGCCGCAGCUAACGCAGUAAGUGUCCCGCCUGGGGAGUACGGCCGCAAGGUUGAAACUCAAAGGAAUUGACGGGGGCCCGCACAAGCGGUGGAGCAUGUGGUUCAAUUCGACGCAACGCGAAGAACCUUACCCAGGCUGGACAUGCAGGUAGUAAGAACCUGAAAGGGGGAGUGAGCCAGCAAUGGCAGCCUGCUCAGGUGCUGCAUGGCUGUCGU